GGCGACGGGUGAGUAACACGAUAAGAAUUUGCCUCUANGAGGGGGAUAACAACUGGAGAGGGCUAAUACCCCAUAUGCUUUCGAGUGAAAUGGAUUUCCGCCUAGAGAGAAGCUUGCGGCUGAUAAGCUUGUUGGUGAGGUAAUGGCUCACCAAGGCGACGAUCAGUAUCUGGUUUGAGAGGACGAUCAGACACACUGGAACUGAGACACGGUCCAGACUCCUACGGGAGGCAGCAGUGGGGAAUUUUCCGCAAUGGGCGAAAGCCUGACGGAGCAAUACCGCGUGAGGGAUGACGGCCUAUGGGUUGUAAACCUCUUUUUUCAGGGAGGAAUCAAUGACGUGUACCUGAAGAAUAAGCAUCGGCUAACUCCGUGCCAGCAGCCGCGGUAAGACGGAGGAUGCAAGUGUUAUCCGGAAUCACUGGGCGUAAAGCGUCU
This 438-nucleotide ribosomal RNA is filed under the name uncultured cyanobacterium. Its description in RNAcentral is "bacterial SSU rRNA". It matches the Rfam family "Bacterial small subunit ribosomal RNA", at positions 97 to 570 of the family's 1533-position model. Lineage: Bacteria; Bacillati; Cyanobacteriota. The record is from RNAcentral.